RNAcentral lists this ribosomal RNA (324 nucleotides) under Dioszegia sp. RNAcentral's name for it is "partial large subunit ribosomal RNA". It matches the Rfam family "Eukaryotic large subunit ribosomal RNA", at positions 100 to 419 of the family's 3401-position model. Lineage: Eukaryota; Fungi; Basidiomycota; Tremellomycetes; Tremellales; Bulleribasidiaceae. The record is from RNAcentral.
GGGAAGAGCUCAAAUUUGUAAUCUGGCGUCUUUCACGCGUCCGAGUUGUAAUCUAUAGAAGUGUUUUCUAUGUCGGACCGUGUCUAAGUCCCUUGGAAUAGGGUAUCAAAGAGGGUGACAAUCCCGUGCUUGACAUGACUACCGAUGUUCUGUGAUACAUUUUCUACGAGUCGAGUUGUUUGGGAAUGCAGCUCUAAAUGGGUGGUAAAUUCCAUCUAAAGCUAAAUAUUGGUGAGAGACCGAUAGCGAACAAGUACCGUGAGGGAAAGAUGAAAGCACUUUGGAAAGAGAGUUAAACAGUACGUGAAAUUGUUGAAAGGGAAA